AGCAGCCGCGGUAAUUCCAGCUCCAAUAGCGUAUAUUAAAGUUGUUGCAGUUAAAAAGCUCGUAGUUGAAUUUCGGGGUUAGUAGGUUGGUCAUGCCUCUGGUAUGUACUGGUCUCACUGAUUCCUCCUUCCUGAUGAACCUUAAUGCCAUUAAUUUGGUGUUUUGGGGAAUUUGGACUGUUACUUUGAAAAAAUUAGAGUGUUUAAAGCAAGCUAACGCUUGAAUACAUUAGCAUGGAAUAAUGAAAUAGGACGUUCGAUCCUAUUUUGUUGGUUUCUAGGAUUGACGUAAUGAUUAAUAGGGAUAGUUGGGGGCAUUAGUAUUCAAUUGUCAGAGGUGAAAUUCUUGGAUUUAUUGAAGACUAACUACUGCGAAAGCAUUUGCCAAGGAUGUUUUCAUUAAUCAAGAACGAAAGUUAGGGGAUCGAAGACGAUCAGAUACCGCCGUAGUCUUAACCAUAAACUAUGCCGACUAGGGAUCGGAUGAUGUUAAUUUUUUAAUGACUCA
RNAcentral lists this ribosomal RNA (508 nucleotides) under uncultured glomeraceous AM fungus. RNAcentral's name for it is "SSU rRNA". It matches the Rfam family "Eukaryotic small subunit ribosomal RNA", at positions 569 to 1078 of the family's 1831-position model. Lineage: Eukaryota; Fungi; Glomeromycota; Glomeromycetes; Glomerales; Glomeraceae. The record is from RNAcentral.